This 390-nucleotide ribosomal RNA is filed under the name Sphaerodactylus roosevelti. RNAcentral's name for it is "partial 16S ribosomal RNA". It matches the Rfam family "Bacterial large subunit ribosomal RNA", at positions 1998 to 2568 of the family's 2925-position model. Lineage: Eukaryota; Metazoa; Chordata; Lepidosauria; Squamata; Sphaerodactylidae. The record is from RNAcentral.
GGCUGCAUGAGGACCAAACUGUCUCCUUUGACCAAUCAAUGAACCUGAUCUCCCAGUACAAAAGCUGGGAUAAAACCAUAAGACGAGAAGACCCUGUGGAGCUUUAAAUAUAACUACUAAUUAUAACUGCACCCCCAGGGCCCACAAAACCAAAAUAGUACACAUUUUUAGUUGGGGCGACUACGGAACCAAACAAAACUUCCACGACAACAGACCAACCCCCCCCCCCCCCAGGUAAACAUACCAACACCAUUUGACCCAGUAACACUGACCAACGAACCAAGUUACCCCAGGGAUAACAGCGCCAUCCUCUUCAAGAGCCCAUAUCGCCAAGAGGGUUUACGACCUCGAUGUUGGAUCAGGACCCCCAGGUGGUGCAACCGCUACCAA